Molecule: ribosomal RNA, 497 nt
Filed under: uncultured bacterium
Lineage: Bacteria
Description: partial 16S ribosomal RNA
Rfam family: Bacterial small subunit ribosomal RNA
Source: RNAcentral
GAUGAACGCUGGCGGCGUGCCUAAUACAUGCAAGUCGAGCGAACGGACGAGAAGCUUGCUUCUCUGAUGUUAGCGGCGGACGGGUGAGUAACACGUGGAUAACCUACCUAUAAGACUGGGAUAACUUCGGGAAACCGGAGCUAAUACCGGAUGAUAUUUUGAACCGCAUGGUUCAAAAGUGAAAGACGGUCUUGCUGUCACUUAUAGAUGGAUCCGCGCUGCAUUAGCUAGUUGGUAAGGUAACGGCUUACCAAGGCAACGAUGCAUAGCCGACCUGAGAGGGUGAUCGGCCACACUGGAACUGAGACACGGUCCAGACUCCUACGGGAGGCAGCAGUAGGGAAUCUUACGCAAUGGGCGAAAGCCUGACGGAGCAACGCCGCGUGAGUGAUGAAGGUCUUCGGAUCGUAAAACUCUGUUAUUAGGGAAGAACAUAUGUGUAAGUAACUGUGCACAUCUUGACGGUACCUAAUCAGAAAGCCACGGCUAACUACGUG